AUUGAACGCUGGCGGCAUGCCUUACACAUGCAAGUCGAACGGUAACAGGUCUUCGGAUGCUGACGAGUGGCGAACGGGUGAGUAAUAUAUCGGAACGUGCCCAGUCGUGGGGGAUAACGCAGCGAAAGCUGUGCUAAUACCGCAUACGAUCUAUGGAUGAAAGCGGGGGAUCGCAAGACCUCGCGCGAUUGGAGCGGCCGAUAUCAGAUUAGGUAGUUGGUGGGGUAAAGGCCCACCAAGCCAACGAUCUGUAGCUGGUCUGAGAGGACGACCAGCCACACUGGAACUGAGACACGGUCCAGACUCCUACGGGAGGCAGCAGUGGGGAAUUUUGGACAAUGGGCGCAAGCCUGAUCCAGCAAUGCCGCGUGCAGGAUGAAGGCCUUCGGGUUGUAAACGUGCUUUUGUUACGGAACGAAAAGGACGUCUGGUUAAUACCUGGGGCGUCAUGACGGUACCGUAAGAAUAAGCACCGGCUAACUACGUGCC
Molecule: ribosomal RNA, 489 nt
Filed under: uncultured bacterium
Lineage: Bacteria
Description: bacterial SSU rRNA
Rfam family: Bacterial small subunit ribosomal RNA
Source: RNAcentral